GACGAACGCUGGCGGCGUGCUUAACACAUGCAAGUCGAACGGAAAGGCCCUGCUUUUGUGGGGUACUCGAGUGGCGAACGGGUGAGUAACACGUGAGUAACCUGCCCUUGACUUUGGGAUAACUACAGGAAACUGGGGCUAAUACCGGAUAGGAGCUCCUGCUGCAUGGUGGGGGUUGGAAAGUUUCGGCGGUUGGGGAUGGACUCGCGGCUUAUCAGCUUGUUGGUGGGGUAGUGGCUUACCAAGGCUUUGACGGGUAGCCGGCCUGAGAGGGUGACCGGCCACAUUGGGACUGAGAUACGGCCCAGACUCCUACGGGAGGCAGCAGUGGGGAAUAUUGCACAAUGGGCGGAAGCCUGAUGCAGCAACGCCGCGUGCGGGAUGACGGCCUUCGGGUUGUAAACCGCUUUCGCCUGUGACGAAGCGUGAGUGACGGUAAUGGGUAAAGAAGCACCGGCUAACUACGUG
This 468-nucleotide ribosomal RNA is filed under the name uncultured bacterium. RNAcentral describes it as "partial 16S ribosomal RNA". It matches the Rfam family "Bacterial small subunit ribosomal RNA", at positions 28 to 507 of the family's 1533-position model. The record is from RNAcentral.